CCUAAAAUGGCAGAUUUAUGCGAGAAAUUUAAGCUUUCUCCAUGGCUAUAGGCCUUUUAGGA
This 62-nucleotide transfer RNA is filed under the name Rhinotergum shaoguanense. Its description in RNAcentral is "tRNA-Leu". The record is from RNAcentral. Lineage: Eukaryota; Metazoa; Arthropoda; Arachnida; Trombidiformes; Diptilomiopidae.